AGUUGAACCACUGAAAUCAGUACUUAGGUUAGGUAUGGCCAUUGAUUAAGGCUUAUUUGGAUACAGCCCCAGGUGCUUUGGCUCCUUCUCAAACCAAGCUUAUUUUUACAACUUAUGGACAGCAGUGUCCCGUGAAAAGAUUGGUUCUCUUAGUAAGAUACAUACUUUUAUUUUUUAAAAAAUUAUACCGUGCCCAACUGGCAUAGCUUUCAGAAUAGAUACUACAGUAUCAUAAACCAUGAUAAAAACAAAUAAUAAUAAAGGGAAGGGAAAGGGACCCCUGACCAUUAGGUCCAGUCAUGGCCGACUCUUGGGUUGCGGCACUCAUCUUGCUUUAUUGGCCGAGGGAGCCGGCGUACAGCUUCUGGGUCAUGUGACCAGCAUGACAGCCACUUCUGGCAAACGAGCAGCGCACGGAAACGCUGUUUACCUUCCUGCUGGAGCGGUACCUAUUUGUCUACUUGCACUUUGACGUGCUUUUGAACUGCUAGGUUGGCAGGAGCAGGGGCCGAGCAACGGGAGCUCACCCCGAUGUGGGGAUUCGAACCGCUAACCUUCUGAUCGGCAAGCCCUAGGCUCUGUGGUUUAACCCACAGCGCAUAAUUAAAACAGAAGGGAAGACAAAAUAGAAAAGUAACACAGCUGACAUAUCAAAAGGCCUGUGGACAACAACAAAAAAUGCCUUCCCUAGUGCUGGAAAGACAUGGCACUGAGAGCAAUAUCAGCUUUCUUGGGGCGAGCACCAGAGAAGGACUUCUGGUAAUAGAUUUAGUGUAUGUGGUUUAUUUAAAUAUUUCUAGCCCUCCCCUCAUUGUCAAUGAGUUUCAGGGCCAAGUACCUACCAUGAAGCCACAAACAAUCACGUUUAAUGCAGAGUUCCUUGAGAGCAAAUAAAACGUGGUCAAAACAACAAAGUCUACAAGAGAAGAGCAGGUAGCAUCCUUCCAUCCUAAAGCUGCAAGGCCAAAAGCCAGCAAAUACAUCUUCAGUGGGUGCUGAAAAUAGCAAAGAGGUGGUGUAAAUUAAGAGUAGUGCAAGGGAGUAGAAUGGAGAGUGGUGCAUGAGCAGGUAUGGUUGCGUGCAGCAUCUUAAGCUGAGAAAAGGCAUCCUUUUUUUGUUUCUCAGAAGGUUCAAUAAGCAAAAGGUUCACAGAGGUGUAAAUUCUUGGGAGCUGUUUGAAUUCCUGUUGAUAGGAAUGCCUCCUGACGGCACAGCUCCUGAAUCUUUUAAGAGCUACACCACAGUCAGGAGUUCAAGUGCUGAACAUUUACCUGUGGCUUCAUUUCUAUGACAACCAAACUCUCUCCUUCUGAAUUUCUGAUAUAGCAUGUUUUUAAGUGGACGGCUGAAACAACAAGAUCUGCAGCAUAAGACUAAAAGACAGAACAUGUUUACCAUGUUAUAUACCAUAGUCAUUUUUCAACUUAUGACCAUACUGCCUUCCAUUCACCUGUUCAUCCUGUUGAUGCUGCCCCUACAAGUACUGUACGAUAAGGAUUUGGGAAUAUUGGAUUUGUUUUUAAAUUUUUUGUUUAUUUUUGUUUUUUGAUUUUGAUGUAUUGUGUGUUUUGUUUUUUUCUUUGACUUUGGUUUUUAUUGACUUGUAUUGUUCAAUUGCUAUUUAUGUCUAC
This 1631-nucleotide long non-coding RNA is filed under the name Podarcis lilfordi (Lilford's wall lizard). Lineage: Eukaryota; Metazoa; Chordata; Lepidosauria; Squamata; Lacertidae. The record is from RNAcentral.